AUAAACGCUGGCGGCGCACAUAAGACAUGCAAGUCGAACGGAAGUCGUUAUAUUGAUUUGAAGAGAACGGAGAACUUGUUCAAAGGGACAUGAUGAAGAUUAUAACAAUGGCUUAGUGGCGGACUGGUGAGUAAUACGUAAGCAACCUGCCUAUUAGAGGGGAACAACAGUUAGAAAUGACUGCUAAUACCGCAUAUGCCAUAGUAACCACAUGGUUACAGUGGGAAAGGAGCAAUCCGCUAAUAGAUGGGCUUACGGCUGAUUAGCUAGUUGGUGGGGUAACGGCCUACCAAGGCGACGAUCAGUAGCCGGACUGAGAGGUUCAACGGCCACAUUGGGACUGAGAUACGGCCCAGACUCCUACGGGAGGCAGCAGUCGGGAAUUUUGCGCAAUGGAGGAAACUCUGACGCAGUGACGCCGCGUGCAGGAAGAAGGUUUUCGGAUUGUAAACUGCUUUAGACAGGGAAGAAAAAGGACAGUACCUGUAGAAUAAGCUCCGGCUAACUACGUGCCAGCCGCCGC
This 523-nucleotide ribosomal RNA is filed under the name uncultured bacterium. RNAcentral describes it as "bacterial SSU rRNA". It matches the Rfam family "Bacterial small subunit ribosomal RNA", at positions 29 to 518 of the family's 1533-position model. The record is from RNAcentral.